RNAcentral lists this ribosomal RNA (447 nucleotides) under uncultured bacterium. RNAcentral's name for it is "SSU rRNA". It matches the Rfam family "Bacterial small subunit ribosomal RNA", at positions 26 to 518 of the family's 1533-position model. The record is from RNAcentral.
AGAGCGAACGCUGGCGGCAGGCCUAACACAUGCAAGUCGAGCGCCCGUAGCAAUACGGGAGCGGCAGACGGGAUAGUAACACGUGGGAACGCGCCCUUCGGUUCGGAAUAACUCAGGGAAACUUGAGCUAAUACCGAAUACGCCCUUACGGGGAAAGAUUUAUUGCCGAAGGAACGGCCCGCGUCCGAUUAGCUAGUUGGUGAGGUAAUGGCUCACCAAGGCUACGAUCGGUAGCUGGUCUGAGAGGAUGACCAGCAUCACUGGGACUGAGACACGGCCCAGACUCCUACGGGAGGCAGCAGUGGGGAAUAUUGGACAAUGGGCGAAAGCCUGAUCCAGCCAUGCCGCGUGGAUGAUGAAGGCCUUAGGGUUGUAAAGUCCUUUUAACGGGGAGAUAAUGACGGUACCCGUAGAAUAAGCCCCGGCUAACUUCGUGCCAGCAGCCGC